This 481-nucleotide ribosomal RNA is filed under the name uncultured bacterium. RNAcentral's name for it is "partial 16S ribosomal RNA". It matches the Rfam family "Bacterial small subunit ribosomal RNA", at positions 28 to 507 of the family's 1533-position model. The record is from RNAcentral.
GACGAACGUUGGCGGCGUGCUUAAUACAUGCAAGUCCACUGAAGCAGUGGUAGCAAUAUCGCUGUGGAGGUGGCGCACGGGUGAGUAACACGUAGGUAAUCUGCCUUCAGGUCUGGCAUAACUCCGUGAAACCGGGGCUAAUAGCAGAUGAUGCAGCGGCUCGACAUCGAGACAGUUGUUAAAGCUAUGGCGCCUGAAGAUGAGCCUGCGUCUGAUUAGCUAGUUGGCGGGGUAACGGCCCACCAAGGCAACGAUCAGUAGCUGGUCUGAGAGGAUGAUCAGCCACACUGGAACUGAGACACGGUCCAGACUCCUACGGGAGGCAGCAGUAAGGAAUAUUGCUCAAUGGGAGAAAUCCUGAAGCAGCAACGCCGCGUGAGGGACGAAGGGCUUUUGCUUGUAAACCUCUGUAGUGAGAGAAAAAAAUCCCAAUCUUUGGGACAUGAUGGUAUCUCAAAAGUAAGCCCCAGCUAACUACGUG